RNAcentral lists this ribosomal RNA (488 nucleotides) under Bactrocera nigra. Its description in RNAcentral is "partial large subunit ribosomal RNA". Lineage: Eukaryota; Metazoa; Arthropoda; Insecta; Diptera; Tephritidae. The record is from RNAcentral.
CCUGUUUAACAAAAACAUGUCUUUUUGAGUUAUUUUUAAAGUCUGACCUGCCCACUGAAAAUUUUUAAAUGGCCGCAGUAUUUUAACUGUGCAAAGGUAGCAUAAUCAUUAGUCUUUUAAUUGAAGGCUGGUAUGAACGGUUGGACGAAGUAUAAGCUGUUUCAUAUAAAUUUAUAAUAGAAUUUUAUAUUUUAGUUAAAAAGCUAAAAUAUAAUUAAAAGACGAGAAGACCCUAUAAAUCUUGAUAUUUUAUUUUAUUUAAAUUUUUUGGAUUUGUUUUAUUUUUAUAUAAUAAAAUAUUUUGUUGGGGUGAUAUUAAAAUUUAAUGAACUUUUAAUUUUUAAAAAUCAUUAAUUUAUGAAUUAUUGAUCCAUUAAUAGUGAUUAUAAGAUUAAGUUACUUUAGGGAUAACAGCGUAAUUUUUUUGGAGAGUUCAUAUCGAUAAAAAAGUUUGCGACCUCGAUGUUGGAUUAAGAUAUAAUUUUAGG